This 127-nucleotide ribosomal RNA is filed under the name Carlito syrichta (Philippine tarsier). The record is from RNAcentral. Lineage: Eukaryota; Metazoa; Chordata; Mammalia; Primates; Tarsiidae.
GUCUGUGGCCACACCACCCCAAAUGUGCCCGAUCUUGUAAGCUCAGCAGGGUCAGGCCUGGCUAGUACUUGGAUGGGAGACCAGACAUAGCUCCUGUCUCCCUUGGCAGAUCUAGGCUCUACAAGGA